GAAAAGUAAUAAAAAAUAGAAAAUUUUCUUAUCCUUAUUAAGAUAUUCUUUACACGUAAUUUGCUUUGCCAACUUAAAAAAUUGGCUAAAAUUAUUGCCACUGUUAAUAGAUUGAGCUAAAAUUUAUAAAAUAAAAAAAAAUUCAUGCUUUUUUGGUCAUUAGGCCAUUAAUAAAUGAUAAUGUGUUAGGUGGGUUGUGUUGGGUUAUGUGGGUAUUAAAUGGGUAGACAUGUCAUUUUAACCAAGGCAAAUGACAACCUGAAUUACCAACUUCACUCCUGUGGUUAUUAUUACUAAUUGAUAAUUCAAUAUGGAUGUUUUCAAGUGUUGCAUGAAAGAUGGCUUAAAUUUUUUAUGGUUGAAUGCUAUGUUGCUAAUGUUUAAAACGCCUUAUGAGUUUGUCUUGUAUCUUUCAGGCGGCAGCAAUUCGAUUGGAA
This 437-nucleotide unclassified non-coding RNA is filed under the name Hevea brasiliensis (rubber tree). The record is from RNAcentral. Lineage: Eukaryota; Viridiplantae; Streptophyta; Magnoliopsida; Malpighiales; Euphorbiaceae.